GACGAACGCUGGCGGCGUGCCUAAUACAUGCAAGUCGAACGAGAGCGACCGGUGCUUGCACUGGUCAAUCUAGUGGCGAACGGGUGAGUAACACGUGGGUAACCUGCCCAUCAGAGGGGGAUAACAUCCGGAAACGGAUGCUAAAACCGCAUAGGUCUUCGAACCGCAUGGUUUGAAGAGGAAAAGAGGCGCAAGCUUCUGCUGAUGGAUGGACCCGCGGUGCAUUAGCUAGUUGGUGAGGUAACGGCUCACCAAGGCCGUGAUGCAUAGCCGACCUGAGAGGGUGAUCGGCCACAUUGGGACUGAGACACGGCCCAAACUCCUACGGGAGGCAGCAGUAGGGAAUCUUCCGCAAUGGACGCAAGUCUGACGGAGCAACGCCGCGUGAGUGAAGAAGGUUUUCGGAUCGUAAAACUCUGUUGUUAGAGAAGAACAAGUGCUAGAGUAACUGUUAGCGCCUUGACGGUAACUAACCAGAAAGCCACGGCUAACUACGUG
This 498-nucleotide ribosomal RNA is filed under the name uncultured bacterium. Its description in RNAcentral is "partial 16S ribosomal RNA". It matches the Rfam family "Bacterial small subunit ribosomal RNA", at positions 28 to 507 of the family's 1533-position model. The record is from RNAcentral.